CUUUUUUUCAAUUUUCCUCGAAUACUUUCAGUUUUUCCUCUCUCCCCUUUUCCUUCUCCGUCUUCUUUCUUCUUUGUGGAUUUCAGACCUGCAAAACCUCCUUUAAUCCUUCUCAAAGCUCGCCAUGAGACCGGAGUUCCCAAAAACACCCGAGGCUGCUCUCGGAGAUAGGGUCUAGUUCGGGGCUCGAGGUCAAGAUGCUGGUGGCCGAUCUCAAUAGCUAAGUCCUCUCCCUUCCUCUAAAAUAUUUUUAAUUCUUUUCCUGAAAUGUGAUUGUCCUGUAAUGUUAUUCUGGGUGAAAAACUGGUUUGUUUGGAUGAUCUGUGAUGCCUAGAGUUGAUGGUGGAAAUGCUUAAUUGGGUAAAGUUGCAUGAGAGUAUGCAGUCUUUAUUUUUGUGAUUGGGUGAGCCAAGACCUCGGAUUGAAGUUCCUAUUGGGGUUCUGGUCUUGGGUUGAAGAUGAGCUGACUCGUCUCGACCCGGCGAGUUGAUGUUCGGGUUGACUCAUAUGAGUCCACCCGAGUGAGUGACUUGCUUGGGUAAACCUGAGUUUAUCUAAUGAGCCUGAGUAGGGAAGUGGGCUUAAUGAGAACUACAGAACAGGAACGGGCCCGCGGGUUUGAUGUGAAUUAAGAGUGGACUUCUGGUUUCACUUAAAGCACGGAUAGGCUAGGGUGCUUUCAGUUGGGCUUGGGUUUGGUUUAAGACACAGGAAGGCUUCAGGGUUUGUUUGAAAAAUGGGCUGGUCAUUUUAAAAAAAAACAAACAAUGGGCUGGUUUAAAAGAAAUAGCAUGGGCUGGGGUUAUUUUUAAAAUGAGUUGUGGGCUUGUUUUCAAAACGGGCUUUGUGUGGAUCUUGCGGGUUAUCUGGGAAAUGGGCUUUGGGUGGUUAACUUAUUUUUCAAUUGGGCUUCCGCCGGUUUGAGUAUAGGGUCGCAUUGAAAUUCCGUGUUUCAAUCUUGGGUUCAAGUCGGGUUUGACUCGAAUAUCUGGACAAGUUGGCUAGGGUUGGAUUUGUUGAUAUGGGUUGUCGGGUCUGUUCACUCAGAUUCGGAUAUCUUGACCCAAUUUUGACACUCGGAUUCUGACAUGCAAGUUUCAAAGCACUCAAUUAAGUGCAUGUAAACCGAUGCCCUAUCACAAGGCCUAUUGAGUAACCUCCCAGGAUCACCCAGUCGCGGGAGUUAGUUUCAGUAAAACCAGUUGCAAUUCCAAUCAAGAACAAAAUUUAACAUCGACUAAUUAUGUGAAUAAACUCACUCCCCAAAACGUGUUCAGUAAUCAUGCAAUAAACUCCAGUGCCAAAACAGUCCACAAUACCCUGUCGAUUGCCCGACCAACCACUCAAAUUUACCCUAUCGAAUUGAGUCAAACCAACCAACGAUGCGAUUUCAGAGCUAGAAUAAAAUAGAUACACUGUAAGAGUGAGGAUUCUUACCUUUUGGAAUUUCUCUCCGCUGCCUCUAUAUUUGAUCUUGGACCUUUAGUCUCUCCCUCUCCAAUCUCUUCUUCCCUUCCCCGGUUCUUCCUUUGGUCUCUUCUGCCACUUUCUUUCUAGUUCACUUUGGUUCUGCAGAUGGUCUGAGCUUUAGAGUUACUAUGAACUGCUGUACGCGCUCAAAUGCUUCAUUUCUCUCAAUUUCUCUAUGAUUUUUCUCCACUUUCCUUUCUUUUCUCGAUUCUUGCAUAGCAUUUCACUAUCCUCUCCCCUCUCCUUUGCAGAGCGAGCUCAUCCCUAUAUAUAGGGGAGCUGGGGCAGCCUCUUGGCGCCAAUUUCCAUCCUGCUUAACAGAUUUCCCCACCAACGAACUUGGCAGGGAAUAAUUCCCUUCCCUCUACUCACGUGAACCUCUGAUUUUAUUUACAUAUAUAUAUAUAUAUAUAUAUAUAUAUAUAUAUAUAUGUUGGAAUUUCUACUAACCAACUCUGCUGUUUCUCUCCUCUGUGUCCAGGUGAUCGAGAAGAUGUAAGGUGGCAACAGGGGAAUGGCGGGCAGUUUGUUAUUUUGGUUUUUACUCUUGAAAUUUUAUUUUGUGAAUUCUUUCUGAUAACUAACUCACCUGUUUCUUUCUUCUGCGUGGAGGUGACUCUUGGGAAGAUCCCAGCUGGCAGCUGGGUAUUGGAGGGCAUGGCAUUUUUAUUUUUGUAUUUUUAUCCAUUUUAUUAUUUUUUUGAAAUUUCCAUGUACCCCUAUUUUUCCUGCAACUAUUAUUUGUAAACCCUUUGUUUUGUAUCUCUCCAUUUCAGUAUGUAACUUUCCAUUAUUCAUUUUCCGCCUGUAUAUGUACCCCAGCGAGGGUACUUGCCCAUCCUAAUACAAUGCAAAUUUAAUUUUGUUCUGA
This is a long non-coding RNA of Malania oleifera, 2341 nucleotides long. RefSeq lists it as uncharacterized. Lineage: Eukaryota; Viridiplantae; Streptophyta; Magnoliopsida; Santalales; Ximeniaceae. The record is from RefSeq and is a predicted model, not a curated record. The transcript has 2 exons.